AGGCCGGAGCCCAGGGUCUGUCUGGCAGGCAGACAGGUGCCAGCAGCUCGCAGCCUGGCGUUCCCGCUCUGGGGGCCGUCCGGGAACAGAGGCGCGCGAAGUGCGCGUGCGCGGCGGCGGAGGCGGUGGCGGCGCGAGGCAGAGCCAGAGCCCGGGGUCAGUCAAUCAGAUUAGACUCCAGAGAUAAUGAUAUUAGGAAAUCCAAACUGAAAUGGACCCCAGAGCAAUUGAAGAAAGAAAGAGUCAAGACAAAAAAAGUUGCUGAUUCCUGUCUAGAGGAAACAGUAAGGAAGAGAAAAGAGAAAUUCUCAUUAUAGCCAUGGCAAAGGAAGGGACAUUUUUAUGGACUACAUCUCUGCCUGGAUGGCUGUCUCUAACUGGAUUUUGCCAAUAUAUGCUGAGUAAGUAGAAGACCACUGCAUUUUGGAGUGGUCGUAUGUAUAUGUGUAUGUGUAUGUGAUAUGGUUUGCUUCAGUUUCCCCCACACACACACACAAAUUUCUUCUCAAUUUGUAAUCCCCACGGGUCGAGUGAAGGACCCGGUGCAAGGUGAUGGGAUCAUGGGGGCAGUUUCCCUCAUGCUGUUCUCGUCAUAGUGAAUGAGUUCUCUUGAAAUCUUAUGGUUUUAAAGUGUGGCACUUUUCCCCUUGCUCUCUCUCUCUCUCUUCUGCCACAUUGUGAAGGAGGUGCUUGCUUUUACUUCACCUUCUACCAUGAUUGUAAGUUUCCCGAAGCCUCCCCAGCCAUGUGGAACUGAGUUAAUUAAACCUCUUUUUCUUUAUAAAUUACCCAAUCUCAGGUAGUUCUUUAUAGUGAUGUGAAAAUGAACUAAUACAGUAUGUAUGUGGAAGGACAGGUAAUUAUAGUGGGUUCUGUAGCCCAUUGACAUAAACAACUGCUGGCCAUGAGCAGUAUUCCUAGGAAGAAGCACUGUUCACAUGGAUAAUUGGGGGAGAGACCAGCAAAAAUCUUAUAAACUGGAAAUAAUUUCUGCAGGUCCGAUAGCAAUUCAUGGCCUCUCUCUUUCACUACAUUUAUUUAAGAACAAUUCCCAAGCCCGUCCUAGUUUUUUCCCUCCUCCAGAACUAUUUAUACAUUUGUUGUUCCUUGAUCUACACUGGCAGUGCUGGCUCUCAUUGGACAGUAGGCUACUGGAAAAUAUGAUGAAAAAAUGUCCUACAGCAGACUGAGCAUGUGCUAGUACAUGCAGCUCCUGCCAUCUGUUUGUCUGCUUUGACAGAUGUUAUUGAAUGAGCAGGUAAAGAUAGUGAGAAGUGAAGCAGAGACAUUUAAUAGACAGCAUCACAUUAGCAGAUCCAUAAACAGCUGGCAAUGAAAAGUAGCCACUGUUUGUAUCCAGAUGUCCAUAUUAGGAGACAAAAUAGUUCUAUAUAUACUACCACUCUAAUGGUGGAGAAAGAUCCUGGAGGGACACGGGUCAUUAUCUGGAGUACUUACAUGAUAUAGACCAUCAGUGUUUUUGCAAAAAAAUACUUUAACUUUAACCUACCUUUGGAAACUAACUCUAACCUACCUUUGGUACUUCGUCUUACCAAAAUGUUAUGUAC
Molecule: long non-coding RNA, 1568 nt
Filed under: Pan troglodytes (chimpanzee)
Lineage: Eukaryota; Metazoa; Chordata; Mammalia; Primates; Hominidae
Description: bidirectional promoter lncRNA
Source: RNAcentral